Molecule: ribosomal RNA, 431 nt
Filed under: uncultured eukaryote
Lineage: Eukaryota
Description: SSU rRNA
Rfam family: Eukaryotic small subunit ribosomal RNA
Source: RNAcentral
CAAUAGCGUAUAUUAAAGUUGUUGCAGUUAAAACGCUCGUAGUCGGAUUUCGGGGCGGGCCGACCGGUCUGCCGAUGGGUAUGCACUGGCCGGCGCGUCCUUCCUUCCGGAGACCGUGCCUACUCUUAACUGAGCGGGUUCGGGAGACGGAUCGUUUACUUUGAAAAAUCAGAGUGUUUCAAGCAGGCAGCUCGCUCUUGCAUGGAUUAGCAUGGGAUAAUGAAAUAGGACUUUGGUGCUAUUUUGUUGGUUUCGAACACCGAAGUAAUGAUUAACAGGGACAGUCAGGGGCACUCGUAUUCCGUCGAGAGAGGAUAGUAAUUCUCACGAACCGAAACGGAAGAACCGAACCACUGACGAAAGCUAUUCGCCGAGGAUUGUUUCACUGAUCAAGAACGAAAGUUAGGGGAUCGAAGACGAUCAGAUACCAU